This 576-nucleotide small RNA is filed under the name Pongo abelii (Sumatran orangutan). RNAcentral describes it as "retained intron". The record is from RNAcentral. Lineage: Eukaryota; Metazoa; Chordata; Mammalia; Primates; Hominidae.
GUUAAUAAGGAGAAUAGACAAUAUGUGAUGUGAGUAUUGAACAGCACUAAAUCUUAAUGUUUAUUGAAAUUACUUUGUUUCAUUGUAGGUCAGACAUAUUUCCAACAUUUGGGUCAAAACCUUGUCCAACAAGACUUUCUUCUGCGAAGAACAAAAUUUCUCAUAUUGCUGAACAAAGCCCCAGUGCAGGGUCAUCAUCAAAUCCACAGCAAAUUUCCAGUUUUGACUUCACAACCGCAAAGACUUUAGCAGAAGACUCAGUAGUAGUAGUUGGAAAAGGCGUAUUUGGAAGUUUAAGUUCAGCACCAGCAACCUGCAGCCAAUCAGUGAUAUCUUCUGUGGAAAAUGGGGAUACAUUUUCAAUUAAACAAAGUAUUGAACCACCGUCAGGGAUUUAUGGAAGAUCAGUCCAGCAAAAUAUUUCAUCAUAUCUUGAUGCUGAGAAUGAAAAAGAUACUGAAGUUUCUAUUUCUAAAUCUACUUAUAACAAGAUGAGACAAAAGAGAAAAGAAGAGAAAGAACUGUUUCACAAUAAAAAUUGUGAAAAGAAGGAAAAAAAUACCUGGGAACGAAUGA